UGGGGAAUAUUGGACAAUGGGGGAAACCCUGAUCCAGCGAUGCCGCGUGAGUGAUGAAGGCCUUCGGGUUGUAAAGCUCUUUCAGUGGGGAGGAUAAUGACGUUACCCACAGAAGAAGGACCGGCUAACUCCGUGCCAGCAGCCGCGGUAAGACGGAGGGGGCUAGCGUUGUUCGGAAUGACUGGGCGUAAAGGGCGCGUAGGCGGCUUAUCAAGUCAGGUGUGAAAGCCUUGGGCUUAACCCAAGAAUUGCGCUUGAUACUGAUAAGCUAGAGGAUGAUAGAGGAAAGCGGAAUUCCUAGUGUAGAGGUGAAAUUCGUAGAUAUUAGGAAGAACACCAGUGGCGAAGGCGACCACCUGGACUGAUACUGACACUGAGGUGCGAAAGCGUGGGGAGCAAACA
Molecule: ribosomal RNA, 402 nt
Filed under: uncultured bacterium
Lineage: Bacteria
Description: bacterial SSU rRNA
Rfam family: Bacterial small subunit ribosomal RNA
Source: RNAcentral